RNAcentral lists this ribosomal RNA (254 nucleotides) under uncultured bacterium. RNAcentral's name for it is "partial 16S ribosomal RNA". It matches the Rfam family "Bacterial small subunit ribosomal RNA", at positions 524 to 776 of the family's 1533-position model. The record is from RNAcentral.
UACGAAGGGGGCUAGCGUUGCUCGGAAUCACUGGGCGUAAAGAGCUCGUAGGCGGCUCGGUAAGUCGGGUGUGAAACCUCCAGGCUCAACCUGGAGACGCCACUCGAUACUGCCGUGGCUAGAGUCCGGUAGAGGAGCGUAGAAUUCCUGGUGUAGCGGUGAAAUGCGCAGAUAUCAGGAGGAAUACCAGCGGCGAAGGCGGCGCUCUGGGCCGGAACUGACGCUGAGGAGCGAAAGCGUGGGGAGCAAACAGG